RNAcentral lists this long non-coding RNA (578 nucleotides) under Nicotiana benthamiana. RNAcentral describes it as "long non-coding RNA (NBEN_LNC008160)". The record is from RNAcentral. Lineage: Eukaryota; Viridiplantae; Streptophyta; Magnoliopsida; Solanales; Solanaceae.
AGAUAGCAAAAUCUUGUAAACUAUCCCUCUUCUUUUAACGAACGCCAUCUGGUUCAAUAAAACUUAUGACUUUCGGUUGCAUAGCCUAUUCGCAAGAAUUUCUUCAUUUUUCUUGUACACAUAAUUGCAUAGCGAGGCCGAUAAAGAUCGAAGGAAUCGCUAACUUCCCGCUUCGGAAUAAGUGUGAUAAACGUAGAAUUUCUCGAUUUGAGGAUCUGACCUGCUUUUAAGAGACUUCAAUAGCUUUAUUAAUGUGUGAGGCCACAUCCUUUGGCAGAAGGCAGCCGGGAAGUCGUCGGGACCUGGGGCUUUAUUAUUCAGAUUCUCAUUCUUCAAACGUGAUCUCCCGUCUAAGCCACGGAUUGUCCUCCGCGUCCAUUUUUCGAUUUUUUGGGUGCAUUGGCCAUCAUCUCGAUUCAGAAUUUUAUUUAAGUAGGCAGCAGCGCUAAUACGUAAUCUCCCAUCACCCCACCCCCUAUCACAUGAUACUCCGCCACAUCAUAAACACAUAUUUAGUGGAAUUUUCAGUUCUUAGUGGUUAGUAUCACCCUGGGAAGCAUCUUAGGUUGUGUGUUUUU